Molecule: ribosomal RNA, 253 nt
Filed under: uncultured bacterium
Lineage: Bacteria
Description: partial 16S ribosomal RNA
Rfam family: Bacterial small subunit ribosomal RNA
Source: RNAcentral
UACGUAGGGUGCGAGCGUUGUCCGGAAUUAUUGGGCGUAAAGGGCUCGUAGGAGGUUUGUCGCGUCGGGAGUGAAAACCUCGGGCUUAACUCGGGGCUUGCUUUCGAUACGGGCAGACUGGAGGUAUGCAGGGGAGAACGGAAUUCCUGGUGUAGCGGUGAAAUGCGCAGAUAUCAGGAGGAACACCGGUGGCGAAGGCGGUUCUCUGGGCAUGACCUGACGCUGAGGAGCGAAAGUGUGGGGAGCGAACAGG